Molecule: non-coding RNA, 976 nt
Organism: Aegilops tauschii subsp. strangulata
Lineage: Eukaryota; Viridiplantae; Streptophyta; Magnoliopsida; Poales; Poaceae
Source: RefSeq, a predicted model, not a curated record
AUCAAAGUGAAAAGUAAGUGGUGGCAAAAAAUAAAAAUAAAAACCCUUCUCCCCCGAUUUUCUUCCGCCCCCCGACGUUCGCCGGCCGUCUCCGGCACCGCCCUCCACUGGCGCGGCUCUGCUCCGGCAUCCUCCGUCGAAUUCCCAGCUUUGCUAUGCCCUUCCGGCCCCACCCGAGGCUCCGGCGGCAAUCCUAGGUCCCUUGGGUCCCCGUCCCGGCGACGCGUCUCUGCCUCUUCGUGACAAGCCAACAAGGAAGGGAGCAAACCAGGAAAGCAGAUCGGCGACGGCGAGCGCAGUUGCUGGAAAAUCAUCGACAACCACUAUUGAUUACGCCGCCGCCGCUAGUAUGGGAGCGUCGCAGCCCAACAAAGAAGAUGAGGGGAAGACUAUGACUGUGGACAAGGAGAUGAAGAAGAUUUUCCGGGUGCCGCAGGACAGGCUGGAUUAUUACCUUUCCUUCAAAGCGAGCCCUGUUGGGCAGAGUCAGGCUCUACGGGAUCCUUCGGCCGCCGCCGAGUUGGACAAAAUCAUUGUACAAAUCCAGGCCGAGCAGGAGAAGAUGAGACGAGAGUACGAGGCCAAGGGCUACGCCACAUUUGAAGCAGAUGUCGCCGGCGACGAGGAAGAGGAAGAUGCAGCAGCAGGCGCAAUAGCUCCUUGUAUUAUUCAGCAAGGAGAGGAGAAAGAGGAAGAUACAACAUCUCCUUGUAUUACUCCGCAAGGAGACCAGGAUCUAGCAGCUCCUUGGUUUAUUCCACAUAGGGGCCGAAGAAGGUUUCGCCCAGGGGUCGUCAAGCAAGCAGGAGGCGUUAAGAAAGUAAUAAUUUAGAUUAAACUUUUCAAGCAAGCAGCUUGCUGCUUGGGAGCAGUAUUCAUUGCUCAACUGUAUUGUAAUGUUCGUACUAUUUCAUAAAAGGCAGCGUAUCAGGUGCAAACUCAAUUUCGAUGCUAGUCUGAAAACUUCAUUGGGUGU